RNAcentral lists this ribosomal RNA (433 nucleotides) under uncultured bacterium. RNAcentral's name for it is "partial 16S ribosomal RNA". It matches the Rfam family "Bacterial small subunit ribosomal RNA", at positions 29 to 507 of the family's 1533-position model. The record is from RNAcentral.
AACGAACGCUGGCGGCAUACCUAACACAUGCAAGUCGAACGAGACCUUCGGGUCUAGUGGCGCACGGGUGCGUAACGCGUGGGAACCUGCCCUUAGGUUCGGAAUAACUCCCCGAAAGGGGUGCUAAUACCGGAUAAUGUCUUCGGACCAAAGAUUUAUCGCCUUUGGAUGGGCCCGCGUUGGAUUAGCUAGUUGGUAGGGUAAAAGCCUACCAAGGCGACGAUCCAUAGCUGGUCUGAGAGGAUGAUCAGCCACACUGGGACUGAGACACGGCCCAGACUCCUACGGGAGGCAGCAGUAGGGAAUAUUGGACAAUGGGCGAAAGCCUGAUCCAGCAAUGCCGCGUGAGUGAUGAAGGCCUUAGGGUUGUAAAGCUCUUUUACCCGGGAUGAUAAUGACAGUACCGGGAGAAUAAGCUCCGGCUAACUCCGUG